AGAUCGAACUAUAGAGUUUGAUCCUGGCUCAGAUUGAACGCUGGCGGAAUGCUUUACACAUGCAAGUCGAACGGCAGCAUAGGUGCUUGCACCUGAUGGCGAGUGGCGAACGGGUGAGUAAUACAUCGGAACGUGCCCAGUCGUGGGGGAUAACGUAGCGAAAGUUACGCUAAUACCGCAUACGAUCUAAGGAUGAAAGCGGGGGACCGUAAGGCCUCGCGCGAUUGGAGCGGCCGAUGUCAGAUUAGGUAGUUGGUGAGGUAAAGGCUCACCAAGCCGACGAUCUGUAGCUGGUCUGAGAGGACGACCAGCCACACUGGGACUGAGACACGGCCCAGACUCCUACGGGAGGCAGCAGUGGGGAAUUUUGGACAAUGGGCGCAAGCCUGAUCCAGCCAUUCCGCGUGCAGGACGAAGGCCUUCGGGUUGUAAACUGCUUUUGUACGGAACGAAAAGGCUCUGGUUAAUACCUGGGGCUCAUGACGGUACCGUAAGAAUAAGCACCGGCUAACUACGUGCCAGCAGCCGCGGUAAUACGUAGGGUGCAAGCGUUAAUCGGAAUUACUGGGCGUAAAGCGUGCGCAGGCGGUGAUGUAAGACAGAUGUGAAAUCCCCGGGCUCAACCUGGGAACUGCAUUUGUGACUGCAUCGCUGGAGUGCGGCAGAGGGGGAUGGAAUUCCGCGUGUAGCAGUGAAAUGCGUAGAUAUGCGGAGGAACACCGAUGGCGAAGGCAAUCCCCUGGGCCUGCACUGACGCUCAUGCACGAAAGCGUGGGGAGCA
This 781-nucleotide ribosomal RNA is filed under the name Limnohabitans sp. Its description in RNAcentral is "bacterial SSU rRNA". It matches the Rfam family "Bacterial small subunit ribosomal RNA", at positions 1 to 770 of the family's 1533-position model. Lineage: Bacteria; Pseudomonadati; Pseudomonadota; Betaproteobacteria; Burkholderiales; Comamonadaceae. The record is from RNAcentral.